UCGGGAAUUUUGGGCAAUGGGCGAAAGCCUGACCCAGCAACGCCGCGUGAAGGAUGAAGUAUUUCGGUAUGUAAACUUCGAAAGAAUAGGAAGAAUAAAUGACGGUACUAUUUAUAAGGUCCGGCUAACUACGUGCCAGCAGCCGCGGUAAUACGUAGGGACCAAGCGUUGUUCGGAUUUACUGGGCGUAAAGGGCGCGUAGGCGGCAAUUCAAGUCAUCUGUGAAAUCUCCGGGCUUAACUCGGAACGGUCAGAUGAUACUGCUUUGCUAGAGCGCAGAAGGGGCAAUCGGAAUUCUUGGUGUAGCGGUGAAAUGCGUAGAUAUCAAGAGGAACACCUGAGGUGAAGACGGGUUGCUGGGCUGACACUGACGCUGAGGCGCGAAAGCCAGGGGAGCAAACGGGAUUAGAUACCCCCGUAGUCCCUGAGCGGGCUGGCAAGGCGCAU
Molecule: ribosomal RNA, 447 nt
Filed under: uncultured bacterium
Lineage: Bacteria
Description: bacterial SSU rRNA
Rfam family: Bacterial small subunit ribosomal RNA
Source: RNAcentral